GUGGGGAAUAUUGCGCAAUGGGGGAAACCCUGAUCUAGCCAUGCCGCGUGAGCGAUGAAGGCCUUAGGGUUGUAAAGCUCUUUCAGAUGGGAAGAUAAUGACGGUACCAUCAGAAGAAGCCCCGGCUAACUCCGUGCCAGCAGCCGCGGUAAUACGGAGGGGGCUAGCGUUGUUCGGAAUUACUGGGCGUAAAGCGCACGUAGACGGACCAGAAAGUCAGAGGUGAAAUCCCAGGGCUCAACCUUGGAACUGCCUUUGAAACUCCUGGUCUUGAGGUCGAGAGAGGUGAGUGGAAUUCCGAGUGUAGAGGUGAAAUUAGUAGAUAUUCGGAGGAACACCAGUGGCGAAGGCGGCUCACUGGCUCGAUACUGACGCUGAGGUGCGAAAGCGUGGGGAGCAAACAGGAUUAGAAACCCUGGUAGUCC
RNAcentral lists this ribosomal RNA (425 nucleotides) under uncultured bacterium. RNAcentral's name for it is "partial 16S ribosomal RNA". It matches the Rfam family "Bacterial small subunit ribosomal RNA", at positions 354 to 796 of the family's 1533-position model. The record is from RNAcentral.